RNAcentral lists this ribosomal RNA (484 nucleotides) under uncultured bacterium. Its description in RNAcentral is "partial 16S ribosomal RNA". It matches the Rfam family "Bacterial small subunit ribosomal RNA", at positions 30 to 507 of the family's 1533-position model. The record is from RNAcentral.
AUUGAACGCUGGCGGCAGGCCUAACACAUGCAAGUCGAGCGGAUGAAGGGAGCUUGCUCCUGGAUUCCGCGGCGGACGGGCGAGUAAUGAAUAGGAAUCUGCCUGGUCGUGGGGGAUAACGUAAGGAAACGGGCGCUAAUACCGCAUACGUCCUGAGGUAGAACGUGGGGGAUCUUCGGACCUCACGCUAUUAGAUGAGCCUAGGUCGGAUUAGCUAGUUGGUGGGGUAAAGGCCUACCAAGGCGACGAUCCGUAACUGGUCUGAGAGGAUGAUCAGUCACACUGGAACUGAGACACGGUCCAGACUCCUACGGGAGGCAGCAGUAGGGAAUAUUGGACAAUGGGCGAAAGCCUGAUCCAGCCAUGCCGCGUGAGUGAAGAAGGUCUUCGGAUUGUAAAGCACUGUUAGUUGGGAGGAAGGGCAGUAAGUGAAUACCUUGCUGUUUUGACGUUACCAACAGAGAAAGCACCGGCUAACUUCGUG